RNAcentral lists this ribosomal RNA (253 nucleotides) under uncultured bacterium. RNAcentral's name for it is "partial 16S ribosomal RNA". It matches the Rfam family "Bacterial small subunit ribosomal RNA", at positions 524 to 776 of the family's 1533-position model. The record is from RNAcentral.
UACGUAGGUGGCAAGCGUUGUCCGGAUUUAUUGGGUUUAAAGGGUGCGUAGGCGGCCUUAUAAGUCAGUGCUGAAAUAUCCCGGCUUAACCGGGAGGGUGGCAUUGAUACUGCAAGGCUUGAGUGUAGUCGAGGUAGGCGGAAUUGACGGUGUAGCGGUGAAAUGCUUAGAUAUCGUCAAGAACACCGAUAGUGUAGACAGCUUACUAGGCUACAACUGACGCUGAGGCACGAAAGUGUGGGGAUCAAACAGG